Molecule: ribosomal RNA, 413 nt
Filed under: uncultured prokaryote
Description: bacterial SSU rRNA
Rfam family: Bacterial small subunit ribosomal RNA
Source: RNAcentral
GUGUCAGCAGCCGCGGUAAUACGGAGGGGGCUAGCGUUGUUCGGAAUUACUGGGCGUAAAGGGCGCGUAGGCGGGCGCAUAAGUCGGGGGUGAAAUCCCGGGGCUCAACCCCGGAACUGCCUCCGAUACUGUGUGCCUUGAGGACGGGAGAGGUGAGUGGAAUUCCGAGUGUAGAGGUGAAAUUCGUAGAUAUUCGGAGGAACACCGGUGGCGAAGGCGGCUCACUGGCCCGAUCCUGACGCUGAGGCGCGAAAGCGUGGGGAGCAAACAGGAUUAGAUACCCUGGUAGUCCACGCCCUAAACGAUGAGUGCCAGUUGUUGGCGGGCAUGCCCGUCAGUGACGCAGCUAACGCUUUGAGCACUCCGCCUGGGGAGUACGGCCGCAAGGUUAAAACUUAAAUGAAUUGACGGGG